Long non-coding RNA from Colius striatus (speckled mousebird), 1958 nucleotides. RefSeq lists it as uncharacterized. The record is from RefSeq and is a predicted model, not a curated record. NCBI's taxonomy places the organism in Eukaryota, Metazoa, Chordata, Aves, Coliiformes, Coliidae. The transcript has 3 exons.
CCUCCGCCACGCUCAGGGCGGCGGCGGCUGCUGCUGCUGGCCGCCGGCAGAGGCCCGAGGCAGGGGAACCCCCGCGCCACCGCCAGGCCCCUCCGUGCCCCUCGCGGGCCCAUCCCCGGUACCUGUGAGUCGACGGGAGGAAGCAGCACCGUUCCGCUUGCCCAGGCCCGGCCCCACGCAGGAAGCGUCUGUGUGUGGUCAAUAGGACUACUUCCAGUACAUCAAAUUACAAGUGGAUGUGAGUCAUUCUAUGCUGAGAUGCUUAAUCUGAAAUGACUGAAUAGGUGAUUACAACAAAUGGAGGGGAACCUGAAAAUGACGGUUACAACAAUGGGAUGAUCCUGGAAUUUUGCUGGAGGAUUCUGACAGGCAGAUCACAACAGCAACUGGAGGGAAGCACUGAAGGCCCUUCACAAGGAUUUUUUUUUUCCUAUGCAAAAGUGUGAGCUAACUGGUUGGUAGCUUUUAUUCCUUUUUACUGCACAUGAAACCUUGGUUUCUGCAGUACCAGAGAUAAAUAACGCAUACUACAGCCAAAUACAAGCCACUGAGAGUGCCCUGUAUGGGAUUAAAGCACGUGAGGAGGGUUAGAAUGAGUAGAAGGAGAAAGUCACAUCCAUAACAAGAUCACAGGUCUUUGCACCGUAGCAAACUUUUAUCUUUUUCAGAGUCCCAUUUUUUUCUGAAGUUUCCCAAAGUUUUCAGGCUGAGCAACAAAGCUCACUAAAGAAGGUAGGGCUCCCCAAAAGACCAUUGGAAUCUUUUGCUUGGGGAGAGGGAAUGGGCUGGCAUGUGUGGGAUGCAGCUGGCACACAGACCCAACUCACAGACACUGGCUCUGCCUGUGUAGCUGUUGAGGGGCUGGAAGCCAGCCUUGGAGAUGAGUGCUAGGGCUGUUCAGAAGUGAAUAAACUAACAGAAAGAGGUUUUCCAUGAUUCCCUUCAGUUAUAGCUGAGACUCUGAGAGAGUGAAUGAUGUGAAACGAGGAGGCAGAACACAACUAUCCUGGAGCAUCUGCUCUUGAGCCUCAUUCCAUUUUUGAGUCCAAGCCCAUGUUCCCCACGCAGAAGCUGGAAGAGAAUGAUUCUAAACCUAUUGGUAAAAACAAGAAUCACCUUCAACUUUGAUAGAAGGAGCCCAAAGAGGAGGGUAUUAACAUCCCCAUAAUGCUAUGCCCAUGACAGCUUGCUUGCUUUUUGUCUUACUGUUAAGCAAAAUACAGGAUGCAUAAAUAGAAACACCGAAUAGAGACUGCAGGAGAUUAUUUUAGCACAAUAUGAAGACAUGAUGCCAGAAAAACCUGUAAUUUGAAUAUAUAUUUUUGUUGCAAGGUCUAGUGUUUUGUUUUACACAGACGCACAUAGAGAACAAGGGCAACAAGGCUGUCAGUUCUCGCCAUCUCAUUAGUAUUGUAGAAUUCUGAAGAAAAUGACAAAAUGCUGCAUUCAGUUGAGAAAUCAAAUUUAAACAAAAUGCUUUGAGAAAACAGAUGGUUAUCUAGAGAAAAGAGGAAACCAAGGGCAAGUGGAACUUCACUGAGUUCGCCCUGGAACUUUGCCCUGUUCUGGAGAAAACAGAGAAGUUCUAAGCUACAGAGUUGAGCUUAAGCAAGUUGAGCAGUUAAACUUGUUGAACUAGUUUAAUUGCAAGAAGAAUAAUCCACAAUAUCGAUAUAUUAUGUUUCCUGAAACUGAAAUGGACACUAUCAGAAUAUAAGGUACUUCUAUACAAACUGUCAAAUAAAUAUUUUCAAUAAUUCAUGUAUGGAAUGAAAUAGCAGGGCAACAAGAAAACCAUAUGUGGUGUUUUAACAGGAGCUAGACAAAUCUUUGGGCAUCCAAACUGAGUAGUGUUCCUGUUGUGAAAGAAAAGCACCUAAAUACACCUUUUGGGCGUUUUCAUUUUCAAAGUUCCUUCAUUCCUGUUGCCCAAUGAUCUAUUCACAUUAGAAUGUAUC